This 373-nucleotide ribosomal RNA is filed under the name uncultured Glomeromycotina. RNAcentral's name for it is "LSU rRNA". The record is from RNAcentral. Lineage: Eukaryota; Fungi; Glomeromycota.
UUGAAAGGGAAACGAUUGAAGUCAGUCGUACCUGUGGGUAAUCAGCCUUUUGGGUGUGANUUUGUGGAGUGUGAGGAGUUAAACGCCUUCAUGCCUGCAUAUUCGUGCACUUUGGGUGUAUUUACCCGUGUGGUAAGUUAACAUCAAUUUCGGUGGUCAUAAAAUGGCUGGAGGAAUGUAGCUUUGAUCUCGUAUUGAAGUGUUAUAGCCUUCGGUAGAUGUGAUAAUCGGGAUUGAGGAUUGCAACGGAUACCCUUCGGGGCUACCUGUCUGAUCUCUGAUCGUUGCUCUGGUGCCGAAAGCUUGCUUACGGUUAUCAAAGUCGAUGGUCAAUAGGUUAGAAUGGGUUAAAUUCGUUAAGGAUGUUGACGUA